This 468-nucleotide ribosomal RNA is filed under the name uncultured bacterium. RNAcentral describes it as "partial 16S ribosomal RNA". It matches the Rfam family "Bacterial small subunit ribosomal RNA", at positions 28 to 507 of the family's 1533-position model. The record is from RNAcentral.
GACGAACGCUGGCGGCGUGCUUAACACAUGCAAGUCGAACGGAAAGGCCCUGCUUUUGUGGGGUGCUCGAGUGGCGAACGGGUGAGUAACACGUGAGUAACCUGCCCUUGACUUUGGGAUAACUUCAGGAAACUGGGGCUAAUACCGGAUAGGAGCUCCUGCUGCAUGGUGGGGGUUGGAAAGUUUCGGCGGUUGGGGAUGGACGCGCGGCUUAUCAGCUUGUUGGUGGGGUAGUGGCUUACCAAGGCUUUGACGGGUAGCCGGCCUGAGAGGGUGACCGGCCACAUUGGGACUGAGAUACGGCCCAGACUCCUACGGGAGGCAGAAGUGGGGAAUAUUGCACAAUGGGCGGAAGCCUGAUGCAGCAACGCCGCGUGCGGGAUGACGGCCUUCGGGUUGUAAACCGCUUUCGCCUGUGACGAAGCGUGAGUGACGGUAAUGGGUAAAGAAGCACCGGCUAACUACGUG